UACGAAGGGGGCUAGCGUUGCUCGGAAUUACUGGGCGUAAAGGGCGCGUAGGCGGACAGUUUAGUCAGAGGUGAAAGCCCAGGGCUCAACCUUGGAAUUGCCUUUGAUACUGGCUGUCUUGAGUUCGGGAGAGGUGAGUGGAAUGCCGAGUGUAGAGGUGAAAUUCGUAGAUAUUCGGCGGAACACCAGUGGCGAAGGCGACUCACUGGCCCGUUACUGACGCUGAGGCUCGAAAGCGUGGGGAGCAAACAGG
Molecule: ribosomal RNA, 253 nt
Filed under: uncultured bacterium
Lineage: Bacteria
Description: partial 16S ribosomal RNA
Rfam family: Bacterial small subunit ribosomal RNA
Source: RNAcentral